Molecule: ribosomal RNA, 435 nt
Filed under: Triticum aestivum (bread wheat)
Lineage: Eukaryota; Viridiplantae; Streptophyta; Magnoliopsida; Poales; Poaceae
Description: partial small subunit ribosomal RNA
Source: RNAcentral
AUGCCGAGCCUCUCGGGAGAGCCUCUUCCAAUUUCCCCUCCUCACCAAGGACGAGGGCAUGAGGUAGUAACUGUAGCAUGCAGAAUUACCUACAGCUUGAGUAUAUACACAUUAUCCACUUCAUAUUUUAUUCCAAUGGUUUUACUUCCACAUCACAUGUUUAUUUAUAUUAAAUCACAAGAACUUCAUGAGCUUGCUUGGUUACCGUGGAGAAGGGCAUUCUUUCAUGGAGCUGUAGAUUUUUUGAAUAUGCUCCCUGUUGGACACUUUUUUGGGUAUGUCCAAGAUUUGUUGAGAAUGGGUGUGAAAAAAUUGACCAUCUGGUGGACUUAUACGCACGGUAUGUUUAGUUUCAAGAUAACUAAUGGAACUGCUUUAUUCCUUGCUGUGUACAUUUUUAGAACAUUAUUCCUUUUUUGUGUACUGAUUGAAUGA